Molecule: ribosomal RNA, 512 nt
Filed under: uncultured bacterium
Lineage: Bacteria
Description: partial 16S ribosomal RNA
Rfam family: Bacterial small subunit ribosomal RNA
Source: RNAcentral
GAUGAACGCUGGCGGCAUGCCUAACACAUGCAAGUCGAACGGACCUUUAUUUUUGAGAGUUCCUUUAUAGAAGUUCUCAAAAAUACUGGUUAGUGGCGGACGGGUGAGUAACACGUUGGUACCUACCCCUUAGUGGGGAAUAACUUCGAGAAAUCGAGGCUAAUACCGCAUAAUAUCUACGGAUUAAAGCAUUUAUGCGCUAAGGGAGGGGCCUGCGUCUGAUUAGCUAGUUGGUGAGGUAAAAGCUCACCAAGGCGACGAUCAGUAGCUGGAUCGAGAGGUUGACCAGCCACACUGGGACUGAGAUACGGCCCAGACUCCUACGGGAGGCAGCAGUGAGGAAUCUUCCACCAUGGGCGAAAGCCUGAUGGAGCAAUGCCGCGUGCAGGAUGACGGCCUUCGGGUUGUAAAGUACUUUCAGCGGGGAGGAAGGCGAUAAGGUUAAUAACCUUGUCGAUUGACGUUACCCGCAGAAGAAGCACCGGCUAACUCCGUGCCAGCAGCCGCCGUAA